UAAGGAAUAUUGCUCAAUGGGAGAAAUCCUGAAGCAGCAACGCCGCGUGGAGGAUGAAGGGUCUAUGACUUGUAAACUCCUGUAAAGAAGGAAAAAAUUCCCAUUUGAUGGGAGAUGAUGGUACUUCUGGAGUAAGACCCGGCUAACUACGUGCCAGCAGCCGCGGUAAUACGUAGGGGGCAAGCGUUGUCCGGAUUUACUGGGUGUAAAGGGUGCUCAGGCGGAUUUGUAAGUCAGAGGUGAAAUCUUACAGCUUAACUGUGAAACUGCCUUUGAUACUGCAAGCCUAGAGUAUGGAAGAGAGUGAUGGAAUAUCUGGUGUAGCAGUGAAAUGCGUAGAUAUCAGAUAGAACACCAAUGGCGAAGGCAGUCACUUGGUCCAUUACUGACGCUAAAGCACGAAAGCGUGGGUAGCAAACA
This 420-nucleotide ribosomal RNA is filed under the name uncultured bacterium. RNAcentral describes it as "bacterial SSU rRNA". It matches the Rfam family "Bacterial small subunit ribosomal RNA", at positions 355 to 774 of the family's 1533-position model. The record is from RNAcentral.